AUUGAACGCUGGCGUCAGGCCUAACACAUGCAAGUCGAACGAGUGGCGUACGGGUGAGUAAUGUCUGGGAAACUGCCUGAUGGAGGGGGAUAACUCCUGGAAACGGUAGCUAAUACCGCAUACCAUCGGAUGUGCCCCGAUGGGAUUGGCUAGUAGGUGGGGUAAAGGCUCACCUAGGCGACGAUCCCUAGCUGGUCUGAGAGGCUGACCAGCCAGACUGGAACUGAGACACGGGCCAGACUCCUACGGGAGGCAGCAGGGGGGAAUAGUGCACAAUGGGCGCAAGCCUGAUGCAGCCAUGCCGCGUGUAUGAAGAAGGUCUUCGGGUUGUAAAGUACUUUCAGCGGGGAGGCGUUACCCGCAGAAGAAGCACCGGCUAACGCCGUGCCAGCAGCCGCGGUAAUUC
RNAcentral lists this ribosomal RNA (406 nucleotides) under uncultured bacterium. RNAcentral's name for it is "partial 16S ribosomal RNA". It matches the Rfam family "Bacterial small subunit ribosomal RNA", at positions 30 to 526 of the family's 1533-position model. The record is from RNAcentral.